UCCUGAAUAGCUCAGCCGGUAGAGCGCGUGACUGUUAAUCACGAUGUCGCAGGUUCGAACCCUGCUUCAGGAGCCA
This 76-nucleotide transfer RNA is filed under the name Dialister invisus. Its description in RNAcentral is "tRNA-Asn". It matches the Rfam family "tRNA". From Rfam's summary of the family: Transfer RNA (tRNA) molecules are approximately 80 nucleotides in length. The record is from RNAcentral. RNAcentral also lists the same sequence under 13 other names. Lineage: Bacteria; Bacillati; Bacillota; Negativicutes; Veillonellales; Veillonellaceae.